ACAUACAUACAUAUGUCUGUACCCUUUAGUACCAAAUUGUCGCCGUAGACAAUGUCGCCCAAUUGUCCUAGCCACAGACGUCGGCAGAGAAAAAUUCUGCCAGCGUUUUUCAUGCUGAGGUUAGCCGACGGCAGUGAAAAAGUAUUAGUGAUUUCUAAUUGAUUUUUGAUAUAAAUAAAGCAACUGGUUUAGAAAUAAUUGACUUCAAGAACAGCAUUACGUCGGAAAUUCAUAAAAGCUAACCUCUCAAGUAGCUGGAGACAACUCCCUCUUGUGAAGAGCCACAACCUGGAUAAGAAACACAUAAAGUUGAGCCUUAGAACCUAUCUAAAGGCUUUGAACAUUCUUCUCGAAGCAGUUUAAAACACUUUCCCGGGGCAGCCUCCGGAAGUUGGGCUUCAGAAUGCAAUGGCCUGAGCUUAAAAUAUGGACAACAAAACAAAAAAUUGAAAAUUGAA
Long non-coding RNA from Drosophila willistoni, 458 nucleotides. RefSeq lists it as uncharacterized. The transcript has 4 exons. NCBI's taxonomy places the organism in Eukaryota, Metazoa, Arthropoda, Insecta, Diptera, Drosophilidae. The record is from RefSeq and is a predicted model, not a curated record.